This 250-nucleotide long non-coding RNA is filed under the name Ananas comosus (pineapple). RNAcentral's name for it is "long non-coding RNA (ACOM_LNC004323)". The record is from RNAcentral. Lineage: Eukaryota; Viridiplantae; Streptophyta; Magnoliopsida; Poales; Bromeliaceae.
UAUUAUCUCUUGCCUCAUCUUUUUUUUUUGAUAAAAAGUUUAAAUAAACUUAGCCGGAAAUAAACUUUUUUUUUGGUAAAAAGUUUAAACUCUAGCAUGCUAACUGCUUCGUUAUUAUAAAUAAACUUAGCUGAAAAUGUGAAUCAAUUAGAAUUCGAACUUAGAUCUCGAGUACCAACCAUCAAGCUUUUUGCCGCUCUAGAGACGGUUGGUUUUACAGGUGUAAAAUUUAAAUUUAAUUUGUAUGGAG